Molecule: long non-coding RNA, 6372 nt
Filed under: Panicum hallii
Lineage: Eukaryota; Viridiplantae; Streptophyta; Magnoliopsida; Poales; Poaceae
Description: long non-coding RNA (PHAL_LNC000805)
Source: RNAcentral
GCCGAGCGGUGCGCGAGCGCGCGCGGGAGGCGGAUGCGGAGCGCGCGGAGCGGGGAGGUGCGGUGCAGGCGGGCCGCGGGAGCCGGAGGGGAGCGCGGCGCAGCCGUGCGGGGCGCGAGUGAGCGGUCCCACACGGGCGCGCGCGGCUCGUGGGCGUGCAGGCGCGCAAGCGCUGGUAGCAAGCGGAGCAAAGCUGGGGUGCUAGACUGGUGCGGUGCUGGAACAGGAGCAGAGCAGGGAGCUUGAGGAGGCUGGACAGCGCGGAGAGACCUGCGGCGCGGUAAGACCGGGGCGAACGCGUGUCCAACAGCCGGAAGAGGAGGAGCAGUUGCGCGGCACGCAAGACAAUGACGUACAGGUGUGCGUGUGAGGAUGCGGGACCGGCGGCGCGAAGUGGAACGGUCUGUGCGAGCUUGAGCGCGAAGCUCGCGGUGCUGGAACGCGCAGGCACACGUAUGUGGAGGUGUCGACGAGGCUGUCGACGAUGACGCAGGAGCGGAGCUCAGGGCUCGCGAUGCCGCGGCGCGACGGCUCGGCCCGGACCCGCACGGGGAAAACAAUGGAGCCGCGCGUGAAGGACGUCGGAGAUCGUUGAGGAGGAAGCCACGGACGAAGUCAAGCGGCACUGCGAACUGCUCGUGGAGAACUGAGGUGGCCUGGCACGGACGGCAGCGGAAGGUGUGAUCCUGAUGCAGGCAGGCCUCGGUCCUCGUGGAGGCAGAGGAACGGUUAUGGCGUGACGAGCCAGAAAGAAAGGCGGCGAAGCGGACGUGGUGACCGGAUGCAACGAGCUCGGAGGAGCCACGCACGGCGAGCUCCCUCCACCCAUGCAGAGGCCGAAGCAAAAGCAGCGCGACACGGGACUGACGGCCAACUCAGUUCGUUUCCGCAGGCGCCUGCGCGUGCAAGGCAAUAGACCACGCGCGAGCAGGUUAAGAGCCAGUGGUGUGGGAGCAGUACAAGAAUAGCGCGCAGGAGAUGCGACCAGACACGGUGAUCCUGCAGGAGGCUACGCGGGUAUGCCGGAUGUGUUUCAGCAACACACGUGCGUGAGCAGAGAAGGCUCAGCUCGUGAGUAGGAGGAUCUUGAGGUUCGCGGAGGAGUUGGCAUAGCGAACCCAUCCGGCCCUAUCGUUUCAUCCCAGGGAUCCACGGCAACCAUUUCUGGCGAACUCCUUCGUUAUCCACGGAAUCUCGUCAUCAUCGAGCUUUUCUCUUCGUCGAUCCUGUUCGCCACGGGAAAUGACUUUUCACCCGUUCUUCUCCAUAACCAAGGCUACCCCAAGGUUUGCCCUGAUCCACUGAAUCUUCCUAGUGCCGGCGACCCCUUUGCCGGAACAUCGUCGUUAUCUUCCUGUUCUCUGUUUUUCCCCGACCAGGGACUUAAUUGCUUCAAUUUAGAAAGUUCUAGGGUGUUUUCUAUAAGAUUUCCAGAACUUUCUUUAUUUCAAAUCAAUGAACGUUUACAAGUUUUAUGUUAUGAUCUUGAAUUGGAAUCUUUGAUUUGUGAUCUAGAUUGAAUACUAGGAAAUGAAUGCUUUAUUUUAUACCUUGAAUCGUAUACAUGUAUUGUAGCUAAAGGGUUAAUCAUAGGAUAAAUGUCUUAGGCAGAAAGGUGUGAGGUCUAGUUAAUCCUUUCACACGAGUGUUCCUAUCUCUGCCAUCAAGACAUUGUCCUUGUCUUGAUUUCAGUCUUCUUAAGAUCCUUUUCAUAUAAGAAUCUUUGAUAGUUCAUGUGCAUCUGUUGCUUAGCCAAUACAUCUUGGUAGCUAUACUUCAGUAUCGGCUGUCAGCUCAGCUGCUAAGCAUCGUUUAUUUUAAGUCUAAGAUGUUUUUGUGUAACAGCUGUCAGCCGAUGCACUUCUUUUGAUAUGCUUCUACCAUCGACUGGUUAAUUGAUACGGUUGUUAUCUUUCUAAUAUCGGCUACUGCCGAUACAACUCUUUGUUUUGUCCUACAUCGGCUGCACAUAGUCGAUGUAUUGGAGAUGCACACACGAUAUUAAGAUUCUUACUAUCGACCGAUCCAAGCCGAUUUUGGUUGCUUUUCCAUAUCGGUUAAACACGGCCGAUCAAUCCUUAGUUUCCCCAUCCUUAUCCACAUACUUCUAUCAGUCGAUUUAUCGACUGAGAGAUCGGCUAUAUAUCUAUCGGUCAUAUACCCUUAACCACACUCCAUUCGGCUAUACGUCACCCAAUAGUUGUGCUGACGUAAUCGAGUCGAUACAACCACACCUAGUUACUUAGGAUAACACUUAAGCACAUCUCAGUUAAGACAACUGCUUUAGGAAUCACCCCUCUGUUGAGGUAAUCAAUGCUUUCAUCGAUCGUCUAGAAACCCGAUGCACUCAUCAAUCGGCUAAACCCCUGUUGUUCCAAUCGGCUCUGUUGUAAUCUUCAACGAGCAGCCGAUUCUAAUUAGUUAUUCCUCUAAAGCUCUGUCUAAGUUUAGUUUUAGAUCUUUUUGGUUGUUAGGUGAGUAGUAUGUUAAAUGAGUGUUGGAUUGCAACUUUAUUGUGAAGUAAGAUAGUUUUAUAUGCACACUUUGAAUGUAAUGUUGCAUUGCAUAUAGAUACGACUACUUCUGCAAAUGGUACCUACAAGAUCUCCCCGGAGUCUGCAGAGGAUGUUUCUGAAGACCAAGUCAACAUCACCAACGGAUUAACUGAAGCCCCGAACCAAAUUCGGAAGAUAAUAAUACUAACAUCCCUGACUUCAGCCCCACCAGUAAAGGCAAGCCCCGGACAUAUCCCAUUACUUUAUUUACACUACAAUCUACGUCUAUUUAUAUUAUAUCUUGCAUUAAGUCUAGGAGUUGAAGUGAAACCCUAGUUGCAUGAGAUCUUAGGAAUCCAAUGUAUUGCACCCGAGUCCUUAUCGUUUAGAUGCUCUGCUAAAUAGGACCGGUAAAAGUCGGGUGAUUUCCUAUCACUCGCGCGAUAUAGGAGUUGCUUGUUUACAAUUCUGUAACCACUAUAAGGUUGACGGACAGGGUCAUGUACUGUAUCAUGACCUGGAGUUUUACCCUGUCUGUUUUGACUAAAGCUGAUAAGGUCGCAGCAUGUGGUAGUGGUGUCUAAGCGUUUGAAAGUACAAGCCACAUACCGCGAAAUAUGGUAAGCGGUAAGCCUAGUACCCGAAUGGCCCGGCAAAUGGACUUGUCUCCACCACUCGACCUUUUAUUUUAUGUUUACACGCACCGACGUGUGGGAGUACGUUCUGCAUGGCAGACAGGAAUAUGGGUUUUGUAGUCGUGCUACAGACGUAUGUCCUGCACACAUAGGGUGUGCGUACGGUCCUGCAGUCGCUUGUGGUGGCCCUGAUCCAUAACCCGGAAUAUGAGGGAAAUGGUUGCUUCGGAAUGCCCUGUUGGUAUUCCAAGCGUGUGAGUUAGGUUUACCUUGCAAGGUUAAAUUCGAUUCGGAUCGUCCGCCUCUCACGAGGAUUGAGACUGCUUAUCCCUUUUACCACAGAGAGUAAAAAGUGAAAUUGUUGAUAAAGUAAUCUUGAUGAAUGAUAAUUUCUAUCUUGCUUGUUUAGUAUAGGUGCUUACCUAGAUGGCUAAUCAAACUAGAAUCUGAAAGCUAAAAUUUGAAAGUAGUUUAUACUCUUUGUUGCUUUUCAGCUGAAAAUAAACCCAGGACCUUUACAAUGCCUCCAUGAGUCUAGUUAUGGGCUAAAGUAUAUCCAAUCCCGGGUAAGCCUUGCUGAGUAUUAGUAUACUCAGCCUUGCUAGUUUUAUGUUUUUCAGGUGAAGCCUUUGAAGACCCUACUCUUUCCCUGUCAUGGCCCUGUGCUCUUCCAGAAGAUUGGUCCGUGGAAUGGGAUCCGUCCUCGGCCAACAUUGAUGAUAUCGAGUGAUGUCGUGCCAAGGCUUAGCAUGACAUCCGGCUUGACGACAUGCUAUAAAUCAUCGCGUAUGUUUUCCGCUGCUAAAAACCAUAACUUUAACAGUUUGUAAUGUUUUCUCUAAAUUUCAAACUUUGCACUAAUGUUAGAAACUCUUAUAAUGUAAUUCCUUGUGAUGUAAAAUAUGAUGGUGAUUGUAUCUCUGGACUCACCUUCGUGUGAGGUAACCUUAUUGAUCCUAUAUUCGGUGGUUUAUCAGGACGUUACCCGACAGGCCAAGGGAUUAUACCGUUUGAAGCACGUUGGAGCCCUCGGGAGUGGACUCGCGUACUUGAGCCAGUAUAAUUUAGGUUGGUUCUGCCACAGCCGCUGUGCCACGCUGCCUGAGGCCCCUGCCUGCUUCUCCUGGCCUCCACGCGUCGCCCCUGAGCUCGCCCACUGCCUCACCUUCUUCCUGCUGGCCUUCCCCGAGCGCGCCACGCCGCCAGACUGGGCCGCCCCUCUGCUGCCGCAGGCCGCCGCCGCUCACUGCCGCUGCCGCUCUGCUGGUGCCACCUCCUGCUCUGGCAGCUCCCACGCGCCGCGCUCAGGCCGGCCGCCGCCCUAGUUCUCUUCCUCUGGCCUUCUCCCGCGCGCUCCACGUUGCCCCACCUCUGCCCGAGCUCUGCUCGGCCGCCACGACGCGCCGCCAGUAAACAGCAGCUGCUCCGGCUUGCUGUGCCUCUUCUUAGUCCCACAGCAUGACCCAGAGCUCUCUUCGACUACUUAUAUCCGCUCGCACGACCGCAAUUCGCUUUCUCGACUUCUUCUCCACGGGACCACUGCCGCACUCGCCGUCAGCCGUCGACCACCAUGCUGUCGUCAGCUCACCCCACCCCUUCUCAAGCCACACCAUUACCUCCAGUAGCUUCACCAUGAUUCCGUGAAGCUCACCAGCUCCUCCAUCGCCGCCCUUGAGCACUGCAUCCACCUCACCGAUGAGCUCCUCCCCUCGCCGCCGUUCCGGGUCGCCAUGGGAGCCCAUCCUUCCGGCCGUCUUAGCUCCCGACAAGUAGCUUGGGACAACCGCCUUGACCCCCUGGAGCUUUUCCCCUACCUCCGGUCCACUGCCGAUGAGCCGCCACGCCGGAACACCGCAUCGUAGUUGAGCUCUAUCGCCGCCGCCUCGGGUCGUCGCCGUUCCACCCCCUCCGGUCAAUCCCGACUUGCACAGCACCCCCAGCAAGGUUCCCCCUAGCCCCCAGGUCCUUCCUGGCUAGUUCCCCCUCACCGUUGGCAACCACCGUCACCGGAAUUUGACCAGCGAAUCUCGGCUCCUCUUCCCCGACGAGCCAGGGACUUGAUUGCAUUGAUUUAAAUUUUCCCGAGGGCUUGCCUGCAAGAUUCCAGUCCCUCCUCUCAAUUCAAAAUCAGUGAUCUUUAGAAAUUUGUAAGAAUUUGUAGGAAAUUUAGAAAAAUGUCAAACCAGUUUUGUUUAAAUCCUUGAAGUAAACUCUACAACUUUUAUGUAAUAACCUUGAGCUGAAUAAGUGGAUAUUUGAAUUAAAAUAAAUACUAGGAAAUGGGUGUGUUAAUUAGAUCUCUUGAUCCAUAGCUAUGCUGUUAUUAAAAUUUGAAACAUAGGAUGUAUGUCUCAUGAAUAGCUUUAUGAAAAAUUUAUAGACUCAGAACUACUUCCUAGCUAUGAUGUUCAAGUGUCUUUGUUUUAUAUUGAUGAAAGAUUUAGGAUUUAUUCAAGGGUGAUUCUGUUAGUGUUUGUAGCUAAACAUUUUACCCUAACCUUCUUUCAGCAUGUGUAAACCAUGAUAAAAUUUUGAACAUCAGUAGCAUAGAGUAGCUUAAGUUAUGAAUUUAGGCUUAGAUUCAAAGAUAAUUCAUGAAUAAUAGUUCUGGUUUAUGAAAAAUUAUGAAAUUAAAUUAGAGUUUUACUUUUGAGUAGUGUAAGAUUUUCACAAAAUUUAAGCACAAGAUCUUAUGUAGAACUACUGAUAUAAAUAGAUCUUAAUAUCACAAUGCUGUUUUUGUUCAUUUUAUAGCAUAAUUGCUAUAAGGUUAAAAAUCUUGAUAAAAUCAUAGUAGCUUAGAUUGAUAUCAUCCUUUUUCCAAUAAAAUUUUUAUCCUUAGAUUUGCAGUAGACCCAACUAGAAAAAUAGUUCAUGAUCCAAAUAUUGUUUGAUUAAAAUAAUAACCCCAACUCUUAUUGAAUGAGUAAUUAGUUAAUUAAACCAACUAAUAAUGUUUAAGGGAAUUGAUUAGAUAAAUUAGGAUCUUUUCCAAUGCUACUUACUGUAAUUAGUUUAGUUGCUUAGAGUAACUCAACUUGUCACUUAAUGCAAUUAGGUAAUUAUGAUUAUACUCGAUAAAUGAUUGCCCAGUAUAAGAAUAGAUGACAUGUCUGCUAAAUAGAAUGUUUGUUUAUUAGAUUGCAACUUUAUCGUGAAAUAAAUUUCUUAAAUCAACGACCAUUGCUUCAAAUCACUGCAUAUCAUGUAGAUUCGACUACACUGGCCGACGGAACCUACGA